GUUUGAUCAAAUUUUGCAGAGGUACAUGCUUCCAAUUGGCUUCCCUCAGAGUUACAUGCUUCUAAUUGGGACCGCUCUGCCAGGGGUACUACUUCUAAUUAGUUUUUGCAGACACAGGUAUAUAUGUACUGCUUCCAAUCAGCUUCACAACAAGACAGAGGGUGUGCUCCCAAUUAGCUUCACUAAGAGGUACGUACUUCCAAUUGGCUUCGCUCAGACAACCAUACUACUUCCUGUGAUGUAAUGGUAUGGAUUUGCAAGUCUAUACUACUUCUAUUGUUGAAAUGGUACAUAAUUGCAAUUAACUGUCGUCCAAAUUUGCAGAACAUAUUUCAUUCAACAUUCUUGAUCCAGUUUACUAUCUAUUUUUUUGUAGAUUUUGCAUUUACAAAAAUUAUAGACCGUUGGACAAAGUGAAAACUGUAGGGCUCCCACAUCCUCACAAGGGAGUCCUUAUGAUGUCCCUUUUGAGAUAUUGAAUUUUUGAUGAAUCCUGUUUCUAUAAAAGUAGAAGAGUAUUUUAUAUCAAAACGAUAACUGAAAUAGCAAAUCUUUUCGAUUUGUUUGUAAUUACACCACUUUUAAUUGGCAGAGAAAACUAGUGUAUCUUUUUGGUUGGGAUUCAAUAGUGUAAAGAAAAGAAGUUCAAGCCUCAAAAGCCAACUUUCAGGAAAUCCAUUUUUUGAUACAUGACGGGAAGACUUAAAAUAAAAAUCCUCUUUUUGUCAAGUAAACAAAUACCAAUUUCUAGUAUGCAGCUAUAAACAUUGGAAAACUUUGAAUUCAUUCUAAAAUUAUUAAUCCUUUCACUGCUAGUACACUUUUUUUCUUUUUCUUUUUCCAGAUUUUCUUAUCUAAAGCUUACUAGGGAGUUGUUUAGAAAAAUAAAAAAAUGUGUAAUUUAUCAUGUCAAAUCUACAAUUUGAAUUUAAACUAAAAAUUAUCACAACUUUUUUCUUCAUUUAUUAAAAUCAAAUUUUUAAAGUAUAUAUGAGGUUCAUAAUUCAAAACUGUUCAAAGAAAUAAUAAGGGUUUCCUGUUUCACUUAAACUACUUCAUAACAAAAUAAUUUCUAAUAAAAUCUAUUUGGCGCAAUGAGUAGUUAUUCUAUUUUCAAAGAUAUCAUGAUUUUUCAAGACCACAAAUAUUCAUUAACUGAUAUGCUUACAGAGUCUGUUCUCAUGAAUUCAUUAACAAGAAAUUAAGAACCAAUGAUUCUACCCUAUUCUCUGGCAAUUUAACUUAAAAAAAAAAACCAAGAAUGUGUGCAUUGUACACAGAUGCCCAACUCACAAUAUAAUUUUCCAUGUUCAGUGGACCGUGAAAUUGGGAUCAAAACUUUAAUUUGGCAUUAAAAUUAGAAAGAUCAUAUCAUGGGGAGCAUAUGUACUAAAUUUCAAGUUGAAUGGACUUCAACUUCAUCAAAAACUACCUUGACCAAAAACUUUAGCCUGAACUUCCCCACUUUAUUUUCUAUGUUCAGUGGCCAGUGAAAUUGGGGUCAAAACUUUAAUUCGGCAUUAAAAUUUGAAAGAUUAGAUCAAUUGGGACUAGGGGCACUAAGUUUCAAGUUGAUUGGACUUCAACUACAUCAAAAACUACCUUGACCAAAAACUUAAACCUAAAGCGGGACAGACGGACGAACGGACGAACAGACAAACGAAUGAACAGACAAAUGGGCGAAUGGACACACAGACCAGAAAACAUAAUGCCCCUCUACUACAUAGGUGGGGCAUAAAAAUUAAUUUAUUGUAUUUUACAUUUAAAUAAAAUUUAUUGAAAAUAAAAAACCCAAAGUUUUUUAUUACUGUGCUUACAAGCUAUUUAUUCACCUAGUUAAUUCAAUUAGGUAAUAAUAAAUGUACCUUCAUGUGCUACUUUUAUAGACAAACAGGGUCAAAUUUUUAGACAUUUCCCUCUAAAGGAAAAAAUAUACUCAAUUUUUUUGUUUUAAAAGAAUAACACAAGUGGAGUUUUGGAAAGAAAAAAAAAAUUGAAUAUCAUCUCUACAUAUUAAAGAGUAUUUUGAGUUAAAUUUGUGUACUGACAAUUCUUUUGAAAUAAUUCAUUUUCAUGUUUUCAUUAUUUAGUAAAAUAAAAACGUCGUGUUUUUAUGUUUAAAUUAUUUAAUUUAAAAUAUAUCAUUGGUGAUUUCUUCAAAUUGGCACAAAUAAUCUUGAUAAAUUUUCAAUCCUAAUGUCAUUUUUAAAAGGGGGUUCAUGAACUCAUUUUCAAGUUAAAUCAGUCUGAAUGAUAAAAAUCAGUCAAAGAACCAAUCUUUUCUUUAUAUGUAACUAUUUGACAUAGCGAAAAGUAACAUCAGACAUAAGUGACAUCAUUUAACCUCCCUUGUUACUGUAUCAUAUGCCCUUGACAGCAAACUUAUAUCAGCCUCCCUAUAGAUCUUGAGGAACCUUGGCUGUCAAAAAGUUACAGUAAGUUAAGUUAUCAUUUAAAGGUGCAUAAACUAAAAUUAUGCACCUUUGACUUUAAGAAAUUUGGCCCUUUAUUAUAACAAUACUUGAGGGUGUGCUGCAGUAAUUUAAAAAUAUCUACAUGUUUCUGUUUCUAGUGCAUCUUCAUCAGGAUAAAAACCACAGGCGAGUACAAAAUAGUGAAGUGAUAAUUUGCACGUCACAAUGUCAACAAGGGGAGUAAUUAUAAAUAGAAAAUGAGAGUUGGUAUGAAAUUAAACUUUAAAAACAAUGUUAAAUAAAAUUUGUUGAAUAAUGUUUGAUCAAAUUUUGCAGAGGUACAUGCUUCCAAUUGGCUUCCCUCAGAGUUACAUGCUUCUAAUUGGGACCGCUCUGCCAGGGGUACUACUUCUAAUUAGCUUUUUGCAGACAGAGGUAUAUAUGUACUGCUUCCAAUCAGCUUCGCAACAAGACAGAGGGUGUGCUCCCAAUUAGCUUCACUAAGAGGUACGUACUUCCAAUUGGCUUCGCUCAGACAACCAUACUACUUCCUGUGAUGUAAUGGUAUGGAUUUGCAAGUCUAUACUACUUCUAUUGUUGAAAUGGUACAUAAUUGCAAUUAAUUGUCGUCCAAAUUUGCAAAAACAUAUUUUAUUUAACAUUCUUGAUCCAGUUAACC
Molecule: long non-coding RNA, 3093 nt
Filed under: Mytilus galloprovincialis (Mediterranean mussel)
Lineage: Eukaryota; Metazoa; Mollusca; Bivalvia; Mytilida; Mytilidae
Source: RNAcentral